GUCUGUUGGAAAGAGAUGAAUGGUGAUCCAUAUGGAUAUCUUCAUUUUCUUGACAUCAUUCUGGGUGAACUUGCCAAGAGGCAAUGCUGCAAUGAACACCUUUCUACAAGUCUUUUUGUGGAUACAAGCAAGUAUUGCUCCGGAUGGGAUGAUGAGAAUUGCUGGGUCAUAAAGCAUAUGUGUUUUAAA
Long non-coding RNA from Suricata suricatta (meerkat), 189 nucleotides. RefSeq lists it as uncharacterized. Lineage: Eukaryota; Metazoa; Chordata; Mammalia; Carnivora; Herpestidae. The transcript has 2 exons. The record is from RefSeq and is a predicted model, not a curated record.